AUACGGAGGAUCCGAGCGUUAUCCGGAUUUAUUGGGUUUAAAGGGUGCACAGGCGGCCAUUUAAGUCAGCGGUUAAAUCGUGGGGCUCACCCCCAUUCUGCCGUUGAUACUGGGUGGCUCGCUGCCGGUCGAGGUUGUCGGACUCGGUUGUGUAGCGGGAAAAUGCAUAGAUAUGACGAAGAACACCGAUUGCGUAGGCAGCUGACCAGACCGCAAAUGACGCUCAUGCACGAAAGUGCGGGGAUCGAACAGGAUUAGAUACCCUGGUAGUCCGCACAGUAAACGAUGAAUACUUGUUUUCGGCGAUAUAAUGUCGGAGGCAAAGCGAAAGCGAUAAGUAUUCCACCUGGGGAGUACGCCGGCAACGGUGAAACUCAAAUGAAUUGGCGGGG
RNAcentral lists this ribosomal RNA (392 nucleotides) under uncultured bacterium. RNAcentral describes it as "partial 16S ribosomal RNA". It matches the Rfam family "Bacterial small subunit ribosomal RNA", at positions 523 to 918 of the family's 1533-position model. The record is from RNAcentral.